RNAcentral lists this ribosomal RNA (400 nucleotides) under uncultured soil bacterium. RNAcentral describes it as "bacterial SSU rRNA". It matches the Rfam family "Bacterial small subunit ribosomal RNA", at positions 975 to 1375 of the family's 1533-position model. The record is from RNAcentral.
CCAGACUUGACAUGCAUUGGACGCGUGUGGAAACACACGUUCCCUUCGGGGCCGGUGCACAGGUGCUGCAUGGCUGUCGUCAGCUCGUGUCGUGAGAUGUUGGGUUAAGUCCCGCAACGAGCGCAACCCUUGUCCUUAGUUGCUAACGGGUAAAGCUGAGCACUCUAAGGAGACUGCCGGUGAUAAACCGGAGGAAGGUGGGGAUGACGUCAAGUCCUCAUGGCCCUUACGUCUGGGGCUACACACGUGCUACAAUGGCCGGUACAGAGGGUUCCGAUACCGCGAGGUGGAGGCAAUCCCAAAAAACCGGUCUCAGUUCGGAUUGCAGUCUGCAACUCGACUGCAUGAAGUCGGAAUCGCUAGUAAUCGCUGAUCAGCAGGCAGCGGUGAAUACGUUCCC